Molecule: ribosomal RNA, 900 nt
Filed under: uncultured bacterium
Lineage: Bacteria
Description: bacterial SSU rRNA
Rfam family: Bacterial small subunit ribosomal RNA
Source: RNAcentral
AAUAAGGAUCGGCUAANUACGUGCCAGCAGCCGCGGUAACACGUAGGAUCCGAGCGUUAUCCGAAUUUACUGGGCGUAAAGCGCGUGUAGGCGGUCGGGUAAGUUGGACGUGAAAGCUCCUGGCUCAACUAGGAGAGGUCGUUCAAAACUGCCUGGCUAGAGGGCGACAGAGGGAGGUGGAAUUCCCGGUGUAGUGGUGAAAUGCGUAGAUAUCGGGAGGAACACCAGUGGCGAAGGCGGCCUCCUGGGUCGCACCUGACGCUCAGACGCGAAAGCUAGGGUAGCAAACGGGAUUAGAUACCCCGGUAGUCCUAGCUGUAAACGAUGUGGACUUGGCGUUGGUGGGGUUAAAUCCAUCAGUGCCGUAGCUAACGCGAUAAGUCCACCGCCUGGGGACUACGGUCGCAAGAUUAAAACUCAAAGGAAUUGGCGGGGGCCCGCACAAGCAGCGGAGCGUGUGGUUUAAUUCGAUGCUACACGAAGAACCUUACCCGGGUUUGACAUCCAGGUGGUAGGGAACCGAAAGGCGACCGACCCUUCGGGGAGCCUGGACAGGUGCUGCAUGGCUGUCGUCAGCUCGUGUCGUGAGAUGUCCGGUUAAGUCCGGUAACGAGCGCAACCCUUGCUGUAUGUUAUACGUGUCAUACAGGACUGCCGGUUUAGAACCGGAGGAAGGCGGGGAUGACGUCAAGUCAGCAUGGCCUUUAUAUCCGGGGCUACACACACGCUACAAUGGCCAGCACAACAGGUUGCAAAACCGCGAGGUGGAGCCAAUCCCCAAAGCUGGCCUCAGUUCAGAUUGCAGGCUGCAACUCGCCUGCAUGAAGUCGGAGUUGCUAGUAACCGCGCGUCAGCUAUAGUGCGGUGAAUACGUUCUCGGGCCUUGCACUCACCGCCCGU